RNAcentral lists this ribosomal RNA (253 nucleotides) under uncultured bacterium. RNAcentral describes it as "partial 16S ribosomal RNA". It matches the Rfam family "Bacterial small subunit ribosomal RNA", at positions 524 to 776 of the family's 1533-position model. The record is from RNAcentral.
UACAGAGGGGGCAAGCGUUGUCCGGAAUCAUUGGGCGUAAAGCGCGCGUAGGUGGCUUCGUAAGUCCGUUGUGAAAGUCAAAGGCUCAACCUUUGAAUGCCGAUGGAUACUGCGAAGCUAGAGUACGGAAGAGGCGAGUGGAAUUCCUGGUGUAGCGGUGGAAUGCGCAGAUAUCAGGAGGAACACCAAUAGCGAAGGCAGCUCGCUGGGACGUUACUGACACUAAGGCGCGAAAGCGUGGGGAGCGAACAGG